Molecule: non-coding RNA, 471 nt
Organism: Callithrix jacchus (white-tufted-ear marmoset)
Lineage: Eukaryota; Metazoa; Chordata; Mammalia; Primates; Cebidae
Source: RefSeq, a predicted model, not a curated record
AUGGAGUCAGGGUUUGCAGUACAGACCCCCGCAGUCUUGGACCAUAUAAUCGCGGUGGACAUGAUGGAGGCGCCCAGGUUGCGCCUCAACACCGGCAGCUGACUCAGUUCAUCGACAAGCCUGUCUGCUUCAUAGGGAAGCUGGAAAAGAUUCAUCCCACCAGAAAAACGUUUAUUCUUUCAGAUGAGGAAGGAAAAUAUGGAACCAUUGAGUUGAUGGAACCCCUUGAUGAAGAAAUAUCUGGAAUUAUGGAAGUGGUUGGAAAAGUAACUGCCAAGAUGACCAUCAUGGGUACAUCUUAUGUCCAGUUUAAAGAAGAUAACCAACCUUUUGACCUUGGACUUUACAAUGAAGCUGUGAAAAUGAACCAUCAGUUCCCUCAGUUUUAUCCUUUAGGGAUUAUGCAACAUGAUUGAUCCUGAUGGAUUUUCAUAUGAUUGCAAAUGAGCUAUAUUAAAGACUAGUAAAGGA